RNAcentral lists this long non-coding RNA (680 nucleotides) under Anser brachyrhynchus (Pink-footed goose). RNAcentral's name for it is "lncRNA (ENSABRG00000016449.1)". The record is from RNAcentral. Lineage: Eukaryota; Metazoa; Chordata; Aves; Anseriformes; Anatidae.
GCGUUCAGCUCAGCAGCACCUUCUGCACCAGACUGUCCUGGUGCACAGAAGCUGGCUUCAGGAGGACGAGGGAGCUGCUGGGAAUAGACACCAAGAAGGCCUAACCUCAUAAUAGGGGUAUGGGAUCAGGCUCAGCACCGAGGAGGACUGAUAUUGGAUGCACGUUCCUUCCCUUUGACAGUUUUGUAAAAUAUAUUGGGGAGUCAGAGAGACUGUCAGAUCAAUUUGCUAUUCCGGAGGAGAGAGCCUUGCAGGCUGUGCCAAGGAGGGAGGACCACUUCGUAUCCUGGCUUAUGCAUGCUGAAUUUUAUAGCAAAAAUUUCGCAGGAAGCUUCAAAACCUUCAAAAGGUCCAGAAAAAUAUAUUCUCCUUUCCAAAAUUUAUUUCCUUCUAAAUGUGUCAGGAGAAAAAAAAAAAAAAAAGACACCAUUUAAAAUGAGGAAUGUGUUAUCUGGAAACAAGCAUCACUUUGAUAGAAAUCACUUUGAUAGAACUUGCGAUAUCUCUACUUCUCUACUUAGAUAUUACUUGUUUCAAGAAAAGGUAAAACUGUUUCGCAGUUUUCUAUAUGAAGAACCAUUGGUUGUGAAAUGUCUUCCUAUGUGAACUUCCUGUUAUAAAUUUCUACGUGAUCAAACAUGCUAGAUCUAAAUAAAUAAAUGCAGCUCAUUACUGAUUCA